GAUGAACGCUGGCGGCGUGCCUAAUACAUGCAAGUCGAGCGAACAGACGAGGAGCUUGCUCCUCUGACGUUAGCGGCGGACGGGUGAGUAACACGUGGAUAACCUACCUAUAAGACUGGGAUAACUUCGGGAAACCGGAGCUAAUACCGGAUAAUAUAUUGAACCGCAUGGUUCAAUAGUGAAAGACGGUUUUGCUGCCACUUAUAGAUGGAUCCGCGCCGCAUUAGCUAGUUGGUAAGGUAACGGCUUACCAAGGCAACGAUGCGUAGCCGACCUGAGAGGGUGAUCGGCCACACUGGAACUGAGACACGGUCCAGACUCCUACGGGAGGCAGCAGUAGGGAAUCUUCCGCAAUGGGCGAAAGCCUGACGGAGCAACGCCGCGUGAGUGAUGAAGGUCUUCGGGUCGUAAAACUCUGUUAUUAGGGAAGAACAAAUGUGUAAGUAACUGUGCACAUCUUGACGGUACCUAAUCAGAAAGCCACGGCUAACUACGUG
Molecule: ribosomal RNA, 497 nt
Filed under: uncultured bacterium
Lineage: Bacteria
Description: partial 16S ribosomal RNA
Rfam family: Bacterial small subunit ribosomal RNA
Source: RNAcentral